AUUGAACGCUGGCGGAAUGCUUUACACAUGCAAGUCGAACGGCAGCACGGGGGCAACCCUGGUGGCGAGUGGCGAACGGGUGAGCAAUACAUCGGAACGUGCCCAGUCGUGGGGGAUAACGUAGCGAAAGUUACGCUAAUACCGCAUACGAUCUACGGAUGAAAGCGGGGGACCGUAAGGCCUCGCGCGAUUGGAGCGGCCGAUGUCAGAUUAGGUAGUUGGUGAGGUAAAGGCUCACCAAGCCGACGAUCUGUAGCUGGUCUGAGAGGACGACCAGCCAAACUGGGACUGAGACACGGCCCAGACUCCUACGGGAGGCAGAAGUGGGGAAUUUUGGACAAUGGGCGCAAGCCUGAUCCAGCCAUUCCGCGUGCAGGACGAAGGCCUUCGGGUUGUAAACUGCUUUUGUACGGAACGAAAAGGCUCUGGUUAAUACCUGGGGCUCAUGACGGUACCGUAAGAAUAAGCACCGGCUAACUACGUGCCAGCCGCCGCCGUAA
Molecule: ribosomal RNA, 500 nt
Filed under: uncultured bacterium
Lineage: Bacteria
Description: partial 16S ribosomal RNA
Rfam family: Bacterial small subunit ribosomal RNA
Source: RNAcentral